ACCGAGGAGGCCCCCCCCACAAAGACGUGUUGCAAAAAUCCCUGUGGGAUUUUACUCAGGUUUUGCAUUGAAAAGAAACAGCACGAAAUUUAGCGUCUUUAGCUUUUUUAGCUGGGAAGUGUCUUUCGUAAAUUAGAGGGAGGGAGGCCGGCCGGCAGUCAGGGGAGGAGUCAGCCGGCCCUUUCCAGUUAGCAAAGUUCAGGCGGCUGCAAAGUCACUGCUCUUUAGGUUCGGACGCGCUGGCGUAACCUCGUAUCACCUCGUGAGCUGGUUUUAAACAGGUUUUAAAACCCUGAGAUGCAUGUGGGGUGUCACCCAUCCCCGAGGCUCGACUGCCAGAGCGGGGGAACACAGUGUCUGUUGUCCUCCAGCUCCCCGGGAGGAGCCAGGUUGUAGUCUGCAAAUGUCUGGUCCGGCCCCGGAGGCCUGACGGCGAAGGACUGGCGGCCGCCGAGGGCUGAGGAGGGAGCACGCGAGCGAGCGAGCGAGCGCGGGCGCGCGGGCACGGAGCCGGGUCCCGCCGGCAGCCCAGGCGCCGCCCCCUGUCUUCCCCGCCCCGGCACGUCGGGGGGUUCCGGGCGCCGAGACUGCAGGGGCCCCCAUGGAGGCGGCCUCGCCGGCGGGACCCCGCGUCUCGCAGCUGUACGCGCCGGCACCGGCGGCCUCGCUGGGCAGCCUGCUGCGCGGGCUCAAAGGCCAGCUCUUCACCUGGAACCUUGUGAAAAGACUCUCGAAUUUUGGCAAGAUGAUACCUACAUUUUCGGGUUGAAUGAAAAUCCAGUAAGUUAAUGUACAUACGAGGUGAGUACAGCGGCUGUCACUAGUCUCCCUUCCUUAUAUGGCAUCGAGGACGAGUCCUAAUAUGUUUCCCCUGUAUUCUUGACUAUCUAAGAGUCCUGCAGGACGGAAUAUGUAGGAAGUGAUCACUGAAUUUACAGUUUCUACUUUUGAUGGUUUGCAUAAAACUAGUUCAGUAGUUUGUGGUUUGAUGGCAUGGUUGCAUUUUCUCCCUGGCAAAUGAUGGAAGUGUUUUAAUCCAGGAUGACUCUUGAUCAGCUUUGUCUGCAGUGAUUUAAAAGACUCUUGUUUAUAUGAUGUAACUGUCUUGUUACUAAGGAAAUUCAUUGAGGUGAAUAUAAAUAGUUAUAACAUUAUGAUUCAAGUGUUAUUUCAAGGUAUCACACCCAUUGUCGACCUAGCAUGUUACUUUUCUAUUACUGUUAAAAAACCACCACAAACCUUAUUAUCUGACAGUUCUGAAGGACAGAAAUCGGACACGGGUCUCACCGGGGAGAGUUGAUUUCCUCGUCUCUUCUGCGUCUGCGGCUGCCUGCCUUCUUGGGCUCCGGCCGCCCUCCUCCAUCUGCAAAGCCAGCAACGCUGCAUGUCUCUCUGACUCUCCUCCUGUGGUCACAUCUCCUUCUGACAACAGCUGGGAGAGGUUCUCCCUUUUAAGAACGCGGGUGAUUAGAUGGAGCUGACUGGAUAAAUCCAGGGUAACCUCCCCAGAGCCUGGGAUCAUGAUCUGAGCUGAAACCAAGAGCCAGAUGCUUAACGUACUGAGCCACCCAGGCUCCCCUUUGGUAGGAAUUAUAUGGACGACUUCAUUAUGUAGGCACAGGUGAUGAAAUCAUUGGUCAUUAGUGAAUGGCUCAGUCUCCAGCCUUCUCCCCUCCCUGGGGUGGGGCUGAAAGUUCCAACCCUCUAAGCGCAGGUUAGCUCCCUGGGUAACAGCUCC
Molecule: long non-coding RNA, 1738 nt
Organism: Ursus americanus (American black bear)
Lineage: Eukaryota; Metazoa; Chordata; Mammalia; Carnivora; Ursidae
Source: Ensembl